This 253-nucleotide ribosomal RNA is filed under the name uncultured bacterium. RNAcentral's name for it is "partial 16S ribosomal RNA". It matches the Rfam family "Bacterial small subunit ribosomal RNA", at positions 524 to 776 of the family's 1533-position model. The record is from RNAcentral.
UACAGAGGUGGCAAGCGUUGUUCGGAAUUACUGGGCGUAAAGGGCGCGUAGGCGGCCUUCUAAGUCAGACGUGAAAUCCCCCGGCUUAACCUGGGAACUGCGUCUGAUACUGGGAGGCUUGAGUAUGGGAGAGGGAUGUAGAAUUCCAGGUGUAGCGGUGAAAUGCGUAGAUAUCCGGAGGAAUACCGGUGGCGAAGGCGGCAUCCUGGACCAUAACUGACGCUGAGGCGCGAAAGCUAGGGGAGCAAACGGG